GUUAGGAUAGCUUCAGUGUUCAAAGCUUAGCGUUGAAAAUGCUAGACCGUAGGUUAAACUCCUACUCUUAACA
RNAcentral lists this transfer RNA (73 nucleotides) under Chiridota heheva. RNAcentral's name for it is "tRNA-Phe". It matches the Rfam family "tRNA". Rfam says of the family: Transfer RNA (tRNA) molecules are approximately 80 nucleotides in length. Their secondary structure includes four short double-helical elements and three loops (D, anti-codon, and T loops). The record is from RNAcentral. Lineage: Eukaryota; Metazoa; Echinodermata; Holothuroidea; Apodida; Chiridotidae.